RNAcentral lists this ribosomal RNA (301 nucleotides) under uncultured bacterium. RNAcentral describes it as "partial 16S ribosomal RNA". It matches the Rfam family "Bacterial small subunit ribosomal RNA", at positions 509 to 808 of the family's 1533-position model. The record is from RNAcentral.
CAGUAGCCGCGGGAAUACGUAGGGUGCAAGCGUUAAUCGGAAUUACUGGGCGUAAAGCGUGCGCAGGCGGUUAUAUAAGACAGAUGUGAAAUCCCCGGGCUCAACCUGGGAACUGCAUUUGUGACUGUAUAGCUAGAGUACGGCAGAGGGGGAUGGAAUUCCGCGUGUAGCAGUGAAAUGCGUAGAUAUGCGGAGGAACACCGAUGGCGAAGGCAAUCCCCUGGGCCUGUACUGACGCUUAUGCACGAAAGCGUGGGGAGCAAACAGGAUUAGAUACCCUGUAGUCCCUGUCUCUUAUACA